Molecule: long non-coding RNA, 290 nt
Organism: Anoplophora glabripennis (Asian longhorned beetle)
Lineage: Eukaryota; Metazoa; Arthropoda; Insecta; Coleoptera; Cerambycidae
Exons: 3
Source: RefSeq, a predicted model, not a curated record
GUCAAUCUUUCUAGAGAGUUCUGUUUUCUAAGUUUCUCGUUAGGAAUUUGUUUACUGACAUACAUAUCACACCACUUACAAAAUGAAGCUGAAAAAACUGGUUCAAUUGUUUAUGAGUUGGUACAUCUCAAUCCUGACACAAGUGAAGAGAUAAUACUUCAUGGUCUUCAAAUACUGAAUCAAAAGGUUCAAAUAACGGCAGCUGGCCUUUUCACUAUUGACUUUGACAUCACUCCUGAGAUUAUAAUCCUGUUUGUUACACAUCUUUCAGUAUUUAUACAAAUUAACGA